Molecule: ribosomal RNA, 433 nt
Filed under: uncultured bacterium
Lineage: Bacteria
Description: partial 16S ribosomal RNA
Rfam family: Bacterial small subunit ribosomal RNA
Source: RNAcentral
AACGAACGCUGGCGGCAUGCCUAACACAUGCAAGUCGAACGAUCCCUUCGGGGAUAGUGGCGAACGGGUGCGUAACGCGUGGGAACCUGCCCUUAGGUUCGGAAUAACUCAGAGAAAUUUGAGCUAAUACCGGAUAAUGUCUUCGGACCAAAGAUUUAUCGCCUUUGGAUGGGCCCGCGUUGGAUUAGCUAGUUGGUGGGGUAAAGGCCUACCAAGGCGACGAUCCAUAGCUGGUCUGAGAGGAUGAUCAGCCACACUGGGACUGAGACACGGCCCAGACUCCUACGGGAGGCAGCAGUGGGGAAUAUUGGACAAUGGGCGAAAGCCUGAUCCAGCAAUGCCGCGUGAGUGAUGAAGGCCUUAGGGUUGUAAAGCUCUUUUACCCGGGAUGAUAAUGACAGUACCGGGAGAAUAAGCCCCGGCUAACUCCGUG